AGAGUUUGAUCCUGGCUCAGAAUCAACGCUGGCGGCGCGCUUAACACAUGCAAGUCGCACGAGAAAGGGAGCAAUCCUGAGUAAAGUGGCGUACGGGUGAGUAACACGUGGAUCAUCUACCUUUUAGUGGGGAAUACCCCCGGGAAACUGGGGACAAUACCGCAUAAGCUCGUGAGAGGAAAGCAGCAAUGCGCUGAAAGAGGAGUCCGCGGCUGAUUAGCUAGUUGGUGAGGUAACGGCCCACCAAGGCGAAGAUCGGUAGCCGGCCUGAGAGGGCACACGGCCACACUGGCACUGAAAUACGGGCCAGACUCCUACGGGAGGCAGCAGUGGGGAAUCUUGCACAAUGGAGGAAACUCUGAUGCAGCGACGCCGCGUGAACGAUGAAGCCCUUCGGGGUGUAAAGUUCUUUCGACGGGAACGAUAAUGACGGUACCCGAAGAAGAAGCUGCGGCUAACUACGUGCCAGCAGCCGCGGUAAUACGUAGGCAGCAAGCGUUGUUCGGAAUUACUGGGCGUAAAGAGUGCGUAGGCGGUGCUCUAAGUCUGUUGUGAAAUCUCCCGGCUUAACUGGGAGGGUGCGGCGGAAACUGGAGUGCUUGAGGGUGGGAGAGGUAAGCGGAAUUCCUGGUGUAGCGGUGAAAUGCGUAGAUAUCAGGAGGAACACCUGGUGUAGACAGCUUACUGGACCACUUCUGACGCUGAGGCACGAAAGCGUGGGUAGCAAACAGGAUUAGAUACCCCAGUAGUCC
RNAcentral lists this ribosomal RNA (752 nucleotides) under uncultured bacterium. Its description in RNAcentral is "bacterial SSU rRNA". It matches the Rfam family "Bacterial small subunit ribosomal RNA", at positions 8 to 796 of the family's 1533-position model. The record is from RNAcentral.